Molecule: transfer RNA, 83 nt
Filed under: Pongo abelii (Sumatran orangutan)
Lineage: Eukaryota; Metazoa; Chordata; Mammalia; Primates; Hominidae
Description: tRNA-Leu (TAA) (tRNA-Leu-TAA-2-1)
Rfam family: tRNA
About the family: Transfer RNA (tRNA) molecules are approximately 80 nucleotides in length. Their secondary structure includes four short double-helical elements and three loops (D, anti-codon, and T loops).
Source: Rfam by way of RNAcentral
ACCAGAAUGGCCGAGUGGUUAAGGCGUUGGACUUAAGAUCCAAUGGAUUCAUUUCCGCGUGGGUUCGAACCCCACUUCUGGUA